GGGUCAGGAGGUUGGUCGUGCCACCGGUACGUACUGGUCUCACUGAUUCCUCCUUCCUGAAGAACCGUAAUGCCAUUAAUUUGGUGUUGCGGGGAAACAGGACUGUUACUUUGAAAAAAUUAGAGUGUUUAAAGCAAGCUAACGCUUGAAUACAUUAGCAUGGAAUAAUGAAAUAGGACGAUCGAUCCUAUUUUGUUGGCUUCUAGGAUUGACGUA
Molecule: ribosomal RNA, 216 nt
Filed under: Glomeromycotina sp.
Lineage: Eukaryota; Fungi; Glomeromycota
Description: partial small subunit ribosomal RNA
Rfam family: Eukaryotic small subunit ribosomal RNA (bases 40-216)
Source: RNAcentral